This is a long non-coding RNA of Hermetia illucens (black soldier fly), 680 nucleotides long. RefSeq lists it as uncharacterized. The transcript is spliced from 2 exons. Lineage: Eukaryota; Metazoa; Arthropoda; Insecta; Diptera; Stratiomyidae. The record is from RefSeq and is a predicted model, not a curated record.
UUAGUAGCCAGUAUUUCGUAAGUCAAAACAGGAAAUUUUUAACAUUCUAUUCUGUUCGGUUUUACAUAGAAAAGGUAUCUGAAAAGUUACAUGGAAGCAUUCAUCUUCAAAUUAGUAGAUCAGGUUACUUGCCCUGACAAUAGAGGCAAUCAAUCAGGAAGGAAAAAUGGACGGAGAGAUAGUAACCAGCAGAAAAAUAUGGUCGAAAGUCAAAACAAAAAUCAUACACGAGGUUCUACUUCUAAUAAGGGUGGACGCCCAUCAACUCCCAAAUUAAUUGAGGGUAGACCGAAAAAGGGACCAACUCAGAAAACUAGAUCUUCAACAAUCUGAAAAUUAUUAAAAAAUGCUCCCAUCAACAUUCGAAGUAAUAUUAUUUGUUUCCGAAUAGAGUAAUGGAAGCAACAUGGUUGAUUAGUGGUCAAAUUAAAAAGGGAGGAAGACAGCUAAAAAGUCCUGAAACUACCAGCUCAUAUUAAAAGAUGUUCAAGAAAAUUUCGGGUACUGUUUCGGGUGUAUACCCAGGAAAGAUGCAGAUGGCUUAUUUUGAGCUUACUAAAGAAUGCGAUAGACAAUUACUUCAAAUGGGACUCAAAUUUUCUCGCUUUUAUUAGACGGCUAAGUUUUAUUGAAGAAAAUUUGGUUUAUUUAUAUAUUUAUUUAUAUAACAUCUGCGUCUA